Molecule: long non-coding RNA, 589 nt
Filed under: Mytilus galloprovincialis (Mediterranean mussel)
Lineage: Eukaryota; Metazoa; Mollusca; Bivalvia; Mytilida; Mytilidae
Source: RNAcentral
AUUAUUACAUAACUUGCUGGAUUCAAAUUUCAUUUUUUUUACAAAAAUAUAAAGUAUAUCCAAAGUUAACACUGGCAAGUCAAGUAUAACAAUGUAUCUAACACUGCACAAUCUGCAUAAACCUGCAUACCUGCAUAGGAUAAUUAGCAUUGCAUAUAUAAAUUAACAUGUAAAGCUUAUGCUGGCUUGCUGAUGUUUUCUUUCAUUGUUCUAUUUAAUUAACCCCUAGCCAAAUAUAGCAACAUCUAUUUAAAAUUGACCUGGGACUUGGAUUUUGGGCAGGUAGGGAGGAAUAAGGGAAAUACCUUGGCCUGGGAUUUUAGGGCUUAAAGAAAGGGGAGGGGAAACCUUGGGACUCUGGUGAAGUGGGGAUAUAAAAGGAGAGGGGAAUCCCAGGGCCUGGUGUAUUUGGGGAGAUAAAAGAGGGAGAAGGUUACAUCCACAGUCUGGUGAACUGGGGGAGAUAAAAGAGGGAAUGGGGAAAUAGUUGCUGUUCAUUGAAUGAAGUAAGUUAUGUAUUAAUGUUGUAAUCACAUUGUUGUGAUGAUUGUAUUGUUGCUUUGAAGUUUAUGGAGCACAUAUACCCCAG